RNAcentral lists this long non-coding RNA (238 nucleotides) under Parus major (Great Tit). Its description in RNAcentral is "lncRNA (ENSPMJG00000004239.1)". The record is from RNAcentral. Lineage: Eukaryota; Metazoa; Chordata; Aves; Passeriformes; Paridae.
CCAAGGCCACAACGUGCGAGUUCACGGGGGACAUCCUGCGCACGCCGGUGUCCGAGGACAUGCUGGGCCGGGUGUUCAAUGGCUCAGCCAAACCCAUCGACAGUGGCCCCCCGGUGAUGGCCGAGGACUUCCUGGACAUCAACGGUGACGUCUCCGGCUCUGCAGGAACACGGGAGGGGCUUGGGGAUGGACGGGAAUUGGGGGUGACACCAUGGCCUGAUGGUCACAGUGGGCCUGG